Molecule: long non-coding RNA, 318 nt
Organism: Canis lupus familiaris (dog)
Lineage: Eukaryota; Metazoa; Chordata; Mammalia; Carnivora; Canidae
Exons: 3
Source: RefSeq, a predicted model, not a curated record
UAAACAAAUAAAUCUUAAAAAAAUUAACAGAUGCAUAUGGCCAUAUCUAGCUUUGAGAGAGGCUAGGAUCCAUGCAGCUAAAUAUGGGCUUCUGUCACUAAGGAAGAAGAAAAGAAUGGAUACUGGGACAAGAAACUAGUUCUGCCAUAAAAGGAACAGUGGAGAAAUGUGGACAUGUAAACUGAAUGAAGUGUGGAGUAUGCUGAUCGCAGCAGAGGAUGAAAAGAGAAUCCAGACACCAAGCAAGGGAGAGAAAAGAGGCACACAGUGAGAGAGAGAGAGAGAGAGGCAGAGACACAGGCAGAGGGAGAAGCAGGC